CAAUUAUAUGUAUAUGUUCUUGUUUCUAGCCCUUACUUUAUGCCUGUUAUUCUCCUCUUGCAGAGGUUCCAGUUACUUAUUAAUAUCUUGGAUUGAUAUUCUGGCUCUGAUGCUCAGUAUCUGUGUGAUGGUGGUUGAGUCAACAUCCUGGUUUCUACCUCUCUCCUGAUCAGCAGCUUAGCUGCUGCCACAGCUGUUCACUCCAGAGGGAGAAAGGUAAUCCCAGGGCUUGCGGCUGUUGCUGAUAAAUGACUACAGCAAUUAGAGGUAACAUCUAACCUGAUUAGUUUGCAAGAUAACAGAAUUUCAGUGU
This 313-nucleotide long non-coding RNA is filed under the name Monodelphis domestica (gray short-tailed opossum). RNAcentral describes it as "lncRNA (ENSMODG00000039041.1)". Lineage: Eukaryota; Metazoa; Chordata; Mammalia; Didelphimorphia; Didelphidae. The record is from RNAcentral.